Molecule: long non-coding RNA, 994 nt
Organism: Carassius carassius (crucian carp)
Lineage: Eukaryota; Metazoa; Chordata; Actinopteri; Cypriniformes; Cyprinidae
Exons: 3
Source: RefSeq, a predicted model, not a curated record
GAUCAUUAAGAGAGAUUCAUGAUUGGAGUUGGCAGUAAGGCUCCAUUGUUGUUUUCAACUUGGGUUUGUUAGUUGAAGGUCUUACACAAGUGAAACAGCUGCAGCCAAUAGCAAGAUGUGCCUUUUACUUACUCAACAUACAACCUGAUAAUUGCACACAUGCAUACACACAGAAUCACAUGUGGACAAUUGUGCUUGGCAUUCAACAACACAUCAAAGGAGGAAACAAACAUCUGAGCCCAUCUACGAAAGUCUGGAUUUACUUUGUUUUUGGACACAGCAAGAGCUUCCAGAAACUGGCCAUCCUGGGUGGAUCCAGGUUGGGGUUCUCCAUGGACUCCAUCUGAGGGCAUCGCAGGAAGUAGUAGAGAGUGUGGAGGGCAUCCGGAGACCAGGAGACAGGCUGCUGGCGGGCAUGACGUGCAGGACUGAGCCCGUGACGGACAGAACUGAGGCGCUGCAUAUGGUGCAUGGCCCGUGAUACCAGAUAUCGAAUUAUCACCAGAGCACAGUCGGAAGCUUACAAGACCUUGGACACUAACUGAAACCAAAAACCACAUGUUGGCCUUCAUAGCAAAUGUGGAAAGCAAAUGUGAGAGAGUCAGCACAUUGCCUCCUCUAAAAAGAUUUGGGGAUGAAACACCCACCUGCUGAUGUCUUUCCCUCAUGGAUCUCACAGUUCCACAACAUCCUUAUGAUUGUACCAACAAGGCAUGCAUUGAAAACUGGAUUCUCAACACGUAGCAGGAAACAGUCCAGGUAAUAACUAAACUACAUAUGGAUACAGUAAUCAAGAUUCAAUGCAUGUCUUGGUCUACGCUAAGUUGAGAAGCAAAGUUCUGGGCUGGCCACUCCAUUUGUGGGAACAUUUAGACUUCAUUUGUGGUAAUCACCCCUUGGGUUCAUUUUCCAAACCACAGAGUGGAUUGUGAGUAGGAGGAAUCUUCCGUUAUUAUCUGAAAGAUGCCAAACUUGCAGCAAUAGGGUCCUUAUU